Molecule: long non-coding RNA, 1312 nt
Organism: Bos taurus (domestic cattle)
Lineage: Eukaryota; Metazoa; Chordata; Mammalia; Artiodactyla; Bovidae
Source: Ensembl
GGUAUUAACGGAGGAGCCCAGAGCCUCAGCCCAGGGAGGGUUGCUGUUUAAACAUUGGCCAAUUUACCAAGGAUUUCAGAUAUUUGCUGGACAUUUUAAGGGGUUAACCUGAUCACAGACAGCACACCCAAAGAAAUGAGGAAACCGGGAUGAGAUUCCAUUUUGCCCAAAGACAUCCAGCCAGAAAUUAGAGGAGCUGGAGCUUGGACCCAGGUCUGACUCCAGGAAAAAUUCUCCCCUGGAGGGGUGGCUCAGAAACCAUUCUAAACACAGCAAGUAAAACAAGGCAGGGCUGCGUGGGUGAUGUAUUUAUGAGACUGGAGCUCCAGAGCCCACGUGGAGGAGUAAAUUACAAGUGAAUGCACCUCCAGGAUGGGGCAGCCUCCCUUGCCCUGGCGGCACUUCAAAGCUUCCUGAAAAUUCCCCCAAGAACAGUCAGUCUCGGCAGGGCCUCCCUGCAACUCUCUAAUGGUUCUGUCGGACACCUGCGCAAGGAUUCUCCACGAUCUGCAAGCGUCCACCCAUCAGUUUCCAUGCCGUUUGGGCAUUUAGCCACACCCCUUGGCAGAAGGAGGCUCUGAGACACAGCGACACUGAGGCUGUAACCUGCAGAUGUCUGUCUGGGAUUCCAUCUACCCAUCCACAAAGGGCCAGGAGUGUGUCUUGUCCGUCUUUGAACUCUCAUCUCUAGCACAAAUUAUGGCACUAGCUGAGACUCAGUAUCUUUCUAUGGAAAGAGUGCACUAUUUUGCUAUCCUGGUCUUUGUGCCAAAUUUGGUGAAAGUCCGUUUUGAAUUUCCAACUCCUUGAGACCACAGAGAACAAAGAAUUCAAGAUUCUGAUACAUUGCAUAGUGUCCAAACUGGCUCCUCAGUAACUUCCAGACAUCAAAAUAAACACUUUACUUUAGUGAAACUGCUUACAAUUUACAAAGCCCUUUUUCUUAUAGCCUGCCAUUAUUCUCUGCAACAACCCACGAAGCUGGCAUAGCAGCGUUCACCCCAGAGAUGAGGAAACUGAGACACAAAGCGGUUGGGUAAUUUCUCAGCUGGUAAGAGAUAAAGUCAGGACUCAGACCCAGGGCUUUUCAUUCUGAGCCCAGUGUUCAUUCGACUCCAUCAUAACAAGGGCUGUAUUUUUGUCCCUGCCUUCUGAGGGGCCCUGGAGGAGCUCCUGGAGAAGGAGGAAGAGGAAAUCAAGAUGAGAAGUCUCUGACUUUGCCUGGGGCAAUGGAGAAAGAGGAUGACGGUUGUCUCCACGCUUUUCCCAUUUCCUGAGCACCUAAUACACGCCAGCCUCCCUGCCGCAUGCA